Molecule: ribosomal RNA, 427 nt
Filed under: uncultured bacterium
Lineage: Bacteria
Description: partial 16S ribosomal RNA
Rfam family: Bacterial small subunit ribosomal RNA
Source: RNAcentral
UGGGGAAUAUUGGACAAUGGGCGAAAGCCUGAUCCAGCCAUGCCGCGUGUGUGAAGAAGGUCUUCGGUUUGUAAAGCACUUUAAGUUGGGAGGAAGGGCAUUAACCUAAUACGUUAGUGUUUUGACGUUACCGACAGAAUAAGCACCGGCUAACUCUGUGCCAGCAGCCGCGGUAAUACAGAGGGUGCAAGCGUUAAACGGAAUUACUGGGCGUAAAGCGCGCGUAGGUGGUUUGUUAAGUUGGAUGUGAAAUCCCCGGGCUCAACCUGGGAACUGCAUUCAAAACUGACUGACUAGAGUAUGGUAGAGGGUGGUGGAAUUUCCUGUGUAGCGGUGAAAUGCGUAGAUAUAGGAAGGAACACCAGUGGCGAAGGCGACCACCUGGACUAAUACUGACACUGAGGUGCGAAAGCGUGGGGAGCAAACA